This is a long non-coding RNA of Daphnia pulex (common water flea), 951 nucleotides long. RefSeq lists it as uncharacterized. The transcript is spliced from 4 exons. NCBI's taxonomy places the organism in Eukaryota, Metazoa, Arthropoda, Branchiopoda, Diplostraca, Daphniidae. The record is from RefSeq and is a predicted model, not a curated record.
UCAUAGUUAGUUGCGUUUGAAUUCAACUGACCCAAGUAUUCGGCGAAUGGCUGGGUUUCUUUCUCAGCUGAAUCACGAAGCCAUUUGUACAGACAACAUUUUCUGCGAACAUUUGCUAAUUUGACUGAAUAAUCUGUCUUAAUUCUUUUCUAAUUUUGUUAUUAAUAGGGCAUUGCGUAGUUAUCCGUUGUACAUAGAAAAACUCGUCGGUAGAAGAAAUUUCGUUGAUGCCAGACCACAUUCUUUUUGGCUUGUGCUAGAGAUAUUAGAGACACGAUUGAAAUUGACAGAUCGGCAUGGGCCAUGAAGCACCGACCGAUCGAUUACAGCGCCCCUAGCGGCGUCUGUCGAUGGAAUAGCCAAAUAUGCAUUUUGAGCUUCGACAGGCUGUCGGUGCAAUAGAAUUUACGGGAUGUUUCAGUUGUCCUAGAGGUUAGAUACAAGUUUUUAUGUUUUUCCGUGUAAUUGGACUCACGAACUGUUUGUUGUCGUUGUUCGGCCAUCCCAUUAUGCGUCCUAAACGUGGUAAUCCAGUGAGUGAUGUUGCUGACGUCGUGAAACUAACUUUAAAUUCAUUGAGGCCUGCCCUGUAACGAUGCAUCACCUAAUUAUCCAUCAUCCUUAUACUUUAUCUACAUUCACUGAUGUUGUUCUUCUAGACAAUGUGUAUAUAGGACAAGUCACUUGAAAGGUACGUGUGUAUUGCUCUUUUCAAAAUCAUUUCCGUUUCUAUUCAAGCUUUGUUAUCCCUGUUAAACAAAACUUUUGUGAUAACUUAAGAAAGGAUAAAAUAUCCAGAGAACAUUGAAGCUCCAAAUGUUAUAUUUUAUUCUAAAAUGAAUCGGAUAGCUUUUUUGUGUCUUCAGUGUUUUUGUGGUGGGGAGAUAAGCGUUUCUCAUUAGUAAUUAGAGUUUCACGUUGGGGUGAUUAGCUACGAAUGAUAAUUUAUUU